AGAGUUUGAUCCUGGCUCAGGACGAACGCUGGCGGCGUGCCUAACACAUGCAAGUGGAGCGACGAACCAGGCUUCGGCCUGGGGCAAAGCCGCGAACGGGUGAGUAACACGUGGGUAACCUGCCCCGAUGAUUGGGACAACCCGAGGAAACUCGGGCUAAUACCGAAUGUGCCCUCCGGCCAUAAGGCCGCUGGGGAAAGGAAGCUUCGGCCUCCGCAUCGGGAUGGGCCCGCGGCCCAUUAGCUUGUUGGUGAGGUAACGGCUCACCAAGGCGACGAUGGGUAGCUGGUCUGAGAGGACGAUCAGCCACACUGGGACUGAGACACGGCCCAGACUCCUACGGGAGGCAGCAGUGGGGAAUCUUGCGCAAUGCGCGAAAGCGUGACGCAGCAACGCCGCGUGGGGGAAGAAGGCCUUCGGGUUGUAAACCCCUUUCAGUUGGGACGAAGCUUCGCCGGUGAAUAGCCGGCUGGAGUGACGGUACCUUCAGAAGAAGCCCCGGCUAACUACGUGCCAGCAGCCGCGGUAAUACGUAGGGGGCAAGCGUUGUCCGGAAUCAUUGGGCGUAAAGAGCGUGUAGGCGGCCUGGUAAGUCCGCUCUGAAAGCCCGGGGCUCAACCCCGGGAGGCGGGCGGAUACUGUCAGGCUAGAGUCCGGAAGAGGCGAGUGGAAUUCCUGGUGUAGCGGUGAAAUGCGCAGAUAUCAGGAGGAACACCAAUGGCGAAGGCAGCUCGCUGGGACGGUACUGACGCUGAGACGCGAAAGCGUGGGGAGCAAACAGGAUUAGAUACCCCCGUAGUCC
Molecule: ribosomal RNA, 802 nt
Filed under: uncultured bacterium
Lineage: Bacteria
Description: bacterial SSU rRNA
Rfam family: Bacterial small subunit ribosomal RNA
Source: RNAcentral